RNAcentral lists this ribosomal RNA (492 nucleotides) under uncultured bacterium. RNAcentral describes it as "partial 16S ribosomal RNA". It matches the Rfam family "Bacterial small subunit ribosomal RNA", at positions 29 to 507 of the family's 1533-position model. The record is from RNAcentral.
AGUGAACGCUGGCGGUAGGCCUAACACAUGCAAGUCGAACGGCAGCACAGUAAGAGCUUGCUCUUACGGGUGGCGAGUGGCGGACGGGUGAGGAAUACAUCGGAAUCUACUUUUUCGUGGGGGAUAACGUAGGGAAACUUACGCUAAUACCGCAUACGACCUACGGGUGAAAGCAGGGGAUCUUCGGACCUUGCGCGAUUGAAUGAGCCGAUGUCGGAUUAGCUAGUUGGCGGGGUAAAGGCCCACCAAGGCGACGAUCCGUAGCUGGUCUGAGAGGAUGAUCAGCCACACUGGAACUGAGACACGGUCCAGACUCCUACGGGAGGCAGCAGUGGGGAAUAUUGGACAAUGGGCGCAAGCCUGAUCUAGCCAUGCCGCGUGGGUGAAGAAGGCCUUCGGGUUGUAAAGCCCUUUUGUUGGGAAAGAAAAGCAGCAGGUUAAUACCCCGCUGUUCUGACGGUACCCAAAGAAUAAGCACCGGCUAACUUCGUG